CACACGACUCUCGGCAACGGAUAUCUCGGCUCUCGCAUCGAUGAAGAACGUAGCGAAAUGCGAUACCUGGUGUGAAUUGCAGAAUCCCGCGAACCAUCGAGUCUUUGAACGCAAGUUGCGCCCGAGUCCAUUUGGCCGAGGGCACGCCUGCCUGGGCGUCACGC
RNAcentral lists this ribosomal RNA (164 nucleotides) under Scolochloa festucacea. RNAcentral describes it as "5.8S ribosomal RNA". It matches the Rfam family "5.8S ribosomal RNA". Rfam says of the family: 5.8S ribosomal RNA (5.8S rRNA) is a component of the large subunit of the eukaryotic ribosome. It is transcribed by RNA polymerase I as part of the 45S precursor that also contains 18S and 28S rRNA. Functionally, it is thought that 5.8S rRNA may be involved in ribosome translocation. The record is from RNAcentral. Lineage: Eukaryota; Viridiplantae; Streptophyta; Magnoliopsida; Poales; Poaceae.